RNAcentral lists this ribosomal RNA (468 nucleotides) under uncultured bacterium. RNAcentral's name for it is "partial 16S ribosomal RNA". It matches the Rfam family "Bacterial small subunit ribosomal RNA", at positions 28 to 507 of the family's 1533-position model. The record is from RNAcentral.
GACGAACGCUGGCGGCGUGCUUAACACAUGCAAGUCGAACGGAAAGGCCCUGCUUUUGUGGGGUGCUCGAGUGGCGAACGGGUGAGUAACACGUGAGUAACCUGCCCUUGACUUUGGUAUAACUUCAGGAAACUGGGGCUAAUACCGGAUAGGAUCUCCUGCUGCAUGGUGGGGGUUGGAAAGUUUCGGCGGUUGGGGAUGGACUCGCGGCUUAUCAGCUUGUUGGUGGGGUAGUGGCUUACCAAGGCUUUGACGGGUAGCCGGCCUGAGAGGGUGACCGGCCACAUUGGGACUGAGAUACGGCCCAGACUCCUACGGGAGGCAGCAGUGGGGAAUAUUGCACAAUGGGCGGAAGCCUGAUGCAGAAACGCCGCGUGCGGGAUGACGGCCUUCGGGUUGUAAACCGCUUUCGCCUGUGACGAAGCGUGAGUGACGGUAAUGGGUAAAGAAGCACCGGCUAACUACGUG